This 703-nucleotide ribosomal RNA is filed under the name Rhodococcus sp. SMCC B0674. Its description in RNAcentral is "bacterial SSU rRNA". It matches the Rfam family "Bacterial small subunit ribosomal RNA", at positions 28 to 748 of the family's 1533-position model. Lineage: Bacteria; Bacillati; Actinomycetota; Actinomycetes; Mycobacteriales; Nocardiaceae. The record is from RNAcentral.
GACGAACGCUGGCGGCGUGCUUAACACAUGCAAGUCGAGCGGUAAGGCCUUUCGGGGUACACGAGCGGCGAACGGGUGAGUAACACGUGGGUGAUCUGCCCUGCACUUCGGGAUAAGCCUGGGAAACUGGGUCUAAUACCGGAUAUGACCUCCUAUCGCAUGGUGGGUGGUGGAAAGAUUUAUCGGUGCAGGAUGGGCCCGCGGCCUAUCAGCUUGUUGGUGGGGUAAUGGCCUACCAAGGCGACGACGGGUAGCCGACCUGAGAGGGUGACCGGCCACACUGGGACUGAGACACGGCCCAGACUCCUACGGGAGGCAGCAGUGGGGAAUAUUGCACAAUGGGCGAAAGCCUGAUGCAGCGACGCCGCGUGAGGGAUGACGGCCUUCGGGUUGUAAACCUCUUUCAGCAGGGACGAAGCGCAAGUGACGGUACCUGCAGAAGAAGCACCGGCUAACUACGUGCCAGCAGCCGCGGUAAUACGUAGGGUGCAAGCGUUGUCCGGAAUUACUGGGCGUAAAGAGUUCGUAGGCGGUUUGUCGCGUCGUUUGUGAAAACCAGCAGCUCAACUGCUGGCUUGCAGGCGAUACGGGCAGACUUGAGUACUGCAGGGGAGACUGGAAUUCCUGGUGUAGCGGUGAAAUGCGCAGAUAUCAGGAGGAACACCGGUGGCGAAGGCGGGUCUCUGGGCAGUAACUGACGCUG